CCUACGUGCGGCAGCAGUGGGGAAUAUUGCACAAUGGGGGAAACCCUGAUGCAGCGACGCCGCGUGAGUGAAGAAGGAUGUCGGGACGUAAAGCUCUAUCAGCAGGGAAGAAAAUGACGGUACCUGACUAAGACGCCCCGGCCAACGACGUGCCAGCAGCCGCGGUAAUACGUAGGGGGCAAGCGUUACCCGGAUUUACUGGGGGUAAAGGGAGCGUAGACGGCAGCACAAGUCUGGAGUGAAAUCCCGGGGCUUAACCCCGGAACUGCUUUGGAAACUGUGCGGCUGGAGUGCAGGAGAGGUAAGCGGAAUUCCUAGUGUAGCGGUGAAAUGCGUAGAUAUUAGGAGGAACACCAGUGGCGAAGGCGGCUUACUGGACUGUAACUGACGUUGAGGCUCGAAAGCGUGGGGAGCAAACAGGAUUAGCUACCCGUGUAGUC
RNAcentral lists this ribosomal RNA (440 nucleotides) under uncultured bacterium. Its description in RNAcentral is "partial 16S ribosomal RNA". It matches the Rfam family "Bacterial small subunit ribosomal RNA", at positions 338 to 795 of the family's 1533-position model. The record is from RNAcentral.